This 525-nucleotide ribosomal RNA is filed under the name Agriotes ustulatus. Its description in RNAcentral is "partial 16S ribosomal RNA". The stretch from base 389 to 525 matches the Rfam family "Bacterial large subunit ribosomal RNA", at positions 2473 to 2610 of the family's 2925-position model. The record is from RNAcentral. Lineage: Eukaryota; Metazoa; Arthropoda; Insecta; Coleoptera; Elateridae.
CAUGUCCUUUUGAUUAUAAUUUAAGGUCUAAUCUGCUCAAUGAGAAUUUAAAUUGCCGCGGUAUUCUGACCGUGCAAAGGUAGCAUAAUAAUUAGUUUUUUUAUUGAAAGCUGGAAUGAAUGAUUGGACGAGAAAACAACUGUCUCUUUUAAAAUUAUUGUUUAAUUUAACUUUUAAGUAAAAAGGCUUAGAUUUUUAUUAAAGACGAGAAGACCCUAUAGAGUUUUAUAUUUGUAUAGUAUAAAUUUGUUUGGAAUUUCAAUUUUUUAUAUUAUAUAAUUAUUUGGUUGGGGUGACUAAAAGAUUUAAUAAACUCUUUUAAUAUUUUAUCAUUGAUUUUUGAAUAUUGUAUCUAGAUUUAUUUAAAUUUAAGAUAAAUUACCUUAGGGAUAACAGCGUAAUUUCUUUUUAGAGUUCUUAUUGAUAAAGGAGUUUGCGACCUCGAUGUUGGAUUAAAAUUUAUUUUUGGUGCAGAAGCUAGAAUAUUAAGUCUGUUCGACUUUUGAAAUUUUACAUGAUCUGAGU